Long non-coding RNA from Schistocerca gregaria, 654 nucleotides. RefSeq lists it as uncharacterized. NCBI's taxonomy places the organism in Eukaryota, Metazoa, Arthropoda, Insecta, Orthoptera, Acrididae. The record is from RefSeq and is a predicted model, not a curated record. The transcript is spliced from 3 exons.
AAAUGGCGCUUGCAAAGAAGAGGUUAUUUCAAUGCGUAACCGAAAAAGGAGAUUCUGAAACAGAAAUGGCCAGUUCUGAAGAAGAUUAUUCUUCCAGUGGAAGGAGUAACUGUCCUUUUGAUGAAUAUUCAUCUGAAAAUGACAUAGAUGCUGACUAAUGUGAAAGGUCUCCCAAAGUAUCACCUGCUAAAGAAUCUGAAGGCAGAAAAAAAGAAAUAUUUACAAUUGGAAAAGGGAAAAAUCUAAAUGUCAUAGAAAUUCUGGCAGAGAGUGCAUAUCUGAUAAAAUAGGACAAACCGUUGGCGCUAAAAUUCGUGGUGCAGGAUAUAGAAAGCAAAAAGAAGUGUAAGAGCAUAAUUGAAGAAUGUGUAGAGCACAUAUUCCAUUUUUUGGGACAUGGAUAAUUUCAGUUACCAAAAUAAUUACCUUCUGAGCAACAUAAAGAUGAAACAAUGCAAAGAUACCCAAAGAAAAGGUAAAGCACAGUUUCGUGGCAAAUGGUUACUUCUUUGCACCAGAUUAAGGUUAAUGGCUGUAAUACUUUGGUAUCCAGAGAAGAACUUUUAAGUGUGCUUGGGCCUCAGUACAAUCAAGGACAUCUUAAUAACUUACAAAAAGACUUGUGUGAUGUACACUCCAUGUCUCCAAAAGGCA